RNAcentral lists this unclassified non-coding RNA (408 nucleotides) under Hevea brasiliensis (rubber tree). The record is from RNAcentral. Lineage: Eukaryota; Viridiplantae; Streptophyta; Magnoliopsida; Malpighiales; Euphorbiaceae.
UUUCUUCAAAUCCCCAGCCAAACCUUUACGAACAAUUCGACAUUCUCUACAAAAUUCAGUAAUUAGCUCCUCAGAGGAACUGAAGUCUCGUGCCCAUACAGGAGUAGAUGCCAAUGGUGCAUCUGUUGAUGUCCGUAGCAAUUCAUACACCAUAUCUGUCUGCAAGACAUUAGGCAAAUUCAGCCUUUGUGCGAGUUGGGUAGCUAUAGUAGACUUCCCAACACAUGCAGUUCCACAAACAAGAAUUACCAAUGGCACUCUUUGAUGAUGAAAUCUUGUCAUCAUCUUGUAGCGAUUGAUGUACUCUUCCCCAUACCCCCGCCGCUCCAUGAGCUUAAAUAGGUUAGCUUCAAGAUCAGACUGAGAAACAUCUAGAAGACUGUUAUCUAUGAGCAGCUUCUUGAGUUC